This is a long non-coding RNA of Lonchura striata (white-rumped munia), 371 nucleotides long. RefSeq lists it as uncharacterized. The record is from RefSeq and is a predicted model, not a curated record. NCBI's taxonomy places the organism in Eukaryota, Metazoa, Chordata, Aves, Passeriformes, Estrildidae.
GGAAAAAUCCAAACAACUUCUAUGUUAUUUUAAGAGUCCCAAUAAUGCAAGAAACAGAAAGACUCAGAAAGAAGAUGCCACGGGAGAAACGGCCAGAUCCACUGAACUUUGUCCAGGAUGAUAUUUACAUCCUUCCUGGUAUAAAUCAAAAUCUUUUGAGAGUUUUCAUGAGGAGGAAGAAAUAAACCUGAGUGGUGGGUGAAGUCAUGAACAACUGAGAGGCAGCUGGGUCAGAAGCUGAGUGGGAGGAAGAAGGAUCAGCUUUUUCAGCUCAUAGCUCAGAUAUAGCCUUUGUGUUCUUGGACAAUUUACAUUGCAAUUUAACAUAUUUGCAUCUUUACCUGAUAAGAAUAAAGAAAACUGCACAUUGC